UAUUUCAUCUAAAGCUAAAUAUUGGCCAGAGACCGAUAGCGCACAAGUAGAGUGAUCGAAAGAUGAAAAGCACUUUGGAAAGAGAGUUAAACAGUACGUGAAAUUGUUGAAAGGGAAGCGCUUGCAACCAGACUUGCAUGCCGUCGAUCAUCCUGGGUUCUCCCUGGUGCACUCGGCGGCGUUCAGGCCAGCAUCGGUUUCGGUGGUUGGAUAAAGGCCUUGGGAAUGUAGCUCCUCUCGGGGAGUGUUAUAGCCCUCGGUGCAAUGCAGCCUACCGGGACCGAGGACCGCGCUUCGGCUAGGAUGCUGGCGUAAUGGUUGUAAGCGACCCGUCUUGAAACACGGACCA
Molecule: ribosomal RNA, 349 nt
Filed under: Hymenotorrendiella coriariae
Lineage: Eukaryota; Fungi; Ascomycota; Leotiomycetes; Helotiales; Helotiaceae
Description: partial large subunit ribosomal RNA
Rfam family: Eukaryotic large subunit ribosomal RNA
Source: RNAcentral